This 301-nucleotide ribosomal RNA is filed under the name uncultured bacterium. RNAcentral describes it as "partial 16S ribosomal RNA". It matches the Rfam family "Bacterial small subunit ribosomal RNA", at positions 509 to 807 of the family's 1533-position model. The record is from RNAcentral.
CAGCAGCCGCGGUAAUACGUAGGGUGCGAGCGUUAAUCGGAAUUACUGGGCGUAAAGCGUGCGCAGGCGGUUUUGUAAGACAGAGGUGAAAUCCCCGGGCUCAACCUGGGAACUGCCUUUGUGGCUGCAAGGCUAGAGUACGGCAGAGGGGGAUGGAAUUCCGCGUGUAGCAGUGAAAUGCGUAGAUAUGCGGAGGAACACCGAUGGCGAAGGCAAUCCCCUGGGCCUGUACUGACGCUCAUGCACGAAAGCGUGGGGAGCAAACAGGAUUAGAUACCCCGGUAGUCCCUGUCUCUUAUAC